RNAcentral lists this ribosomal RNA (2042 nucleotides) under Schyzocotyle nayarensis. RNAcentral describes it as "SSU rRNA". It matches the Rfam family "Eukaryotic small subunit ribosomal RNA". Lineage: Eukaryota; Metazoa; Platyhelminthes; Cestoda; Bothriocephalidea; Bothriocephalidae. The record is from RNAcentral.
GCGAAUGGCUCAUUAAAUCAGCUAUGGUUUACUGGACCGUACCCGUUAAAUGGAUAACUGUAAUAACUCUAGAGCUAAUACAUGCAACUAUGCCCUGAACCGAAAGGCAAGGGGUGCACUUAUUAGAUCAGAAGCCAACCGGGUGUCGGUCGCAAGGCUGGCGCCUGUUGUCGUUCUGGUGACUCUGGAUAAUUGUUACAGAUCGCAGUCGGCCAUGAGUCGGCGACGGGUCCUUCAAAUGUCUGCCCUAUCAACUUUCGAUGGUAGGUGACCUGCCUACCAUGGUGAUAACGGGUAACGGGGAAUCAGGGUUCGAUUCCGGAGAGGGAGCCUGAGAAACGGCUACCACUUCCAAGGGAGGCAGCAGGCGCGCAAAUUACCCACUCCCAGCACGGGGAGGUGGUGACGAAAAAUACCGAUGCGGGACUCCCAAACGAGGCUCCGUAAUCGGAAUGAGUCGACUAUAAAUCCUUUAACGAGGAUCAAUUGGAGGGCAAGUCUGGUGCCAGCAGCCGCGGUAACUCCAGCUCCAAUAGCGUAUAUUAAAGUUGCUGCAGUUAAAAAGCUCGUAGUUGGAUCUCGGUAUUAUUGUUGCCUGCCGGCUUUAGAGGUGUCUGCUGGCCUAGCGGUGCAUGGGUGAGCCUGUGUGUCGUGGGGUUGGCGGCCUUGGGUCGGUGUGGCGGUGGUGAUACCUUUCAGCCAUGUCUGUGGUGAAAUAUCCACAGGUGUAGGCGAGUGCCAGGCGGUGCCCUGCAACUGUGGGGUUCGUCGGCUUGUCUGCAUGCCUAUGGAUGCCCUUUAAAAGGUGUCUGUGGGCGGAUGGCACGUUUACUUUGAACAAAUUUGAGUGCUCAAACCAGGCCGAUGUUGCCUGAAAAGUUUUGCAUGGAAUAAUGGAAUAGGACUUCGGUUCUAUUUCGUUGGUUUUCGGAUCCGAAGUAAUGAUCAAAAGAGACAGGCGGGGACGUUUGUAUGGCUGCGCUAGAGGUGAAAUUCUUGGACCGUAGCCAGACAAACUAAAGCGAAAGCAUUCGUCAAGCAUGUUUUCAUUGGCCAUGAGCGAAAGUCAGAGGCUCGAAGACGAUCAGAUACCGUCCUAGUUCUGACCAUAAACGAUGCCAACUGACGAUCCGUGAUGGUAGCAUUUAAACCUUCCUCACGGGCAGUCCCCGGGAAACCAUUAAGUCUUUGGGUUCCGGGGGAAGUAUGGUUGCAAAGCUGAAACUUAAAGGAAUUGACGGAAGGGCACCACCAGGAGUGGAGCCUGCGGCUUAAUUUGACUCAACACGGGAAAACUCACCCGGGCCGGACACUAUGAGGAUUGACAGAUUGAAAGCUCUUUCUUGAUUUGGUGGUUGGUGGUGCAUGGCCGUUCUUAGUUGGUGGAGCGAUUUGUCUGGUUAAUUCCGAUAACGAACGAGACUCCAGCCUGCUAAUUAGUUCUCCUGUCCACUGUACUUGUGCAGGCGGGCGCUUGCCAAAUCUGCCUUUCACGGUUGGCCCACUGGUGGUGUUGUUGUCGGCUGCGCGCUGGGUGCUGGCUCGAAAGGGACGGCGCUUGGUGUGUAUCUGCUGGCGAUGAUGCAUGUCCGGCGGGUUGGCUUGGGUGGAUAGAGCAGUGUCUGCUUCCGAGUACGGCGCGGGUGUCUACUUCUUAGAGGGACAAGCGGGAGAAGCCGCACGAAAUUGAGCAAUAACAGGUCUGUGAUGCCCUUAGAUGUCCGGGGCCGCACGCGCGCUACAAUGACGGUGGCAACGAGUCUGACUUUCUGGCCCGAAAGGGUUGGGUAAACUGGUCAAUCACCGUCAUGACAGGGAUCGGGGCUUGGAAUUGUUCCCCGUGAACGAGGAAUUCCUAGUAAGUGCAAGUCAUAAGCUUGCGCUGAUUACGUCCCUGCCCUUUGUACACACCGCCCGUCGCUACUACCGAUUGAAUGGUUUAGUAAGGUCCUUGGAUUGGCGCCAUUGCAGCCGCAGGGCUCAGACGGUGCUGAGAAGACGACCGAACUUGAUCAUUUAGAGGAAGUAAAAGUCGUAACAAG